Long non-coding RNA from Calliphora vicina (urban bluebottle blowfly), 344 nucleotides. RefSeq lists it as uncharacterized. Lineage: Eukaryota; Metazoa; Arthropoda; Insecta; Diptera; Calliphoridae. The record is from RefSeq and is a predicted model, not a curated record. The transcript is spliced from 2 exons.
CAGUGAGUACCAACGGAAAAGAAUGAAAGAAAUGAAUAAUUUCGUCUGUCCAACCACAAAACAAUGCGGUUUAAGAUCCCACACUGUUUCAUAUUUACGAGUAUCUAUGUAUCUGCAUUUGCCACCAAAAUAUAUCUUAAAGAAGAUGGUUUUUGAUUUUGACGGUUUUAUUUUUUAUUGCGCUUUUAAUAGUCUGUCGGUUUUUUACCGUGAGUCACAACUGUAACUAGUAUCAAUAAGUCGCCAGCACAGUGAUUUCAGUACAGGGAUGGAGAAUUAACUACUAUUAUACUUCAUUUAGUUCACUUUACGCUUCUAUAAAUAAAUUUGAAUUAUGCAAAGUU